AUUAGCAACCGGAGGCUUCUAAACAAUUUACUUUCCCUCCGGGUCUUCUGCGGUCCAGCCACUCUCGGUGAUCCUAGACUUGGCUAGGCUCCAUCUGGCCUCUCUCCAUUAGGCCGUCAACUCCCACCUGCGGCUAUGGCAGAGUUGGGCCUAAAUGAGCACCAUCAAAACGAAGUUAUUAAUUACAUGCGAUUUGCUCGUUCAAAGAGAGGUUUGAGGCUUAAAACAGUAGAUUCCUGCUUCCAAGACCUCAAGGAGAGCAGGCUGGUGGAGGAGACCUUCACCAUAGAUGAAGUCUCUGAAGUCCUGAGUGGUUUGCAGGCUGUGGUUCACAGUGAGGUGGAGUCGGAGCUCAUCAAUACUGCCCACACCAAUGUGUUGCUUCUGCGGCAGCUAUUUGCACAAGCUGAGAAGUGGUACCUUAAGCUGCAGACAGAUAUCUCUGAACUUGAAAACAGAGAAUUAUUAGAACAAGUUGCAGAAUUUGAAAAAGCAGAAUUUAUAUCUUCAAAUAAAAAGCCUAUCAAGGAGAGCAUAAAGGCAAAACUUGUUCCACUUAAUGAAGGUGGAACAACAGAACUCCUAAACAAGGAAAUUUUAAGACUUCAAGAAGAGAAUGAGAAAUUGAAGUCAAGGUUGAAGACCAUUGAAAUACAGGCUACAAAUGCAUUGGAUGAGAAGUCAAAACUAGAAAGAACACUGCAAGAUUUACAGCUUGAUCAAGGAAAUCAAAAGGACUUGAUAAAGGCCCAAGACUUAAGUGACUUGGAAAACACAGUUGCUGCUUUAAAGAGUGAGUUUCAGAAGACACUUAAUGACAAGACGGAAAACCAGAAGUCACUGGAGGAAAAUCUAGCAACAGCCAAGCACGAUCUGCUCAGGGUUCAGGAGCAGCUGAGAAUGGCUGAAAAGGAAUUAGAGAAGAAAUUUCAACAAACAGCAGCCUAUCGAAACAUGAAAGAGAUUCUUACCAAGAAGAAUGACCAAAUCAAAGACCUGAGGAAAAGACUGGCAAAGUAAAGCAUGCUGAUCCUGCCGUGUGUUUUAUCUCCCUGGGUUGGCUUUUGUUCCGUACUACACUUAAGCUGUGUCCGGAGUGGUCAGGCUGAUAUGAACCUGAAGAUUAAAAUCUGAAGAUGUCAUCUGGAAGCUGCCACAACAUGAACAUACAAACUCUCUCUCCUCAGGCAUGUAUUUCAAAACAUUUUGUCAUACUCCCUCUCCUAUUUUUCUAAUAUGUAGACUUUGCUUCUAAUAUUUAGAACUAGAGUUUUUAUUUUCAGUUGUCUUAAUUGAGAAUAGAGAAAACCUGGUGAUUCUGGCCAGUAGUCCUACACGCCUGUCUGCCAAGUUCUCCAGAGUCCUAGUUUGCAAUAAAGAAGAGAUUUUUAGAGUGGGAAGAAGAGUCUUAUCCUUUUGCAUUAGUAUAAAGAAUAUAUCUUUUUAGAAAUGUUAAAGAAGCU
RNA transcript from Nycticebus coucang (slow loris), 1463 nucleotides. It is a transcript of the gene named leucine zipper transcription factor like 1, with no coding region annotated. The record is from RefSeq and is a predicted model, not a curated record. NCBI's taxonomy places the organism in Eukaryota, Metazoa, Chordata, Mammalia, Primates, Lorisidae. The transcript has 10 exons.